GGGCCCGCACAAGCAGUGGAGCAUGUGGUUUAAUUCGACGCAACGCGAAGAACCUUACCUGGUCUUGACAUCCUGCGAACUUUCUAGAGAUAGAUUGGUGCCUUCGGGAACGCAGUGACAGGUGCUGCAUGGCUGUCGUCAGCUCGUGUCGUGAGAUGUUGGGUUAAGUCCCGUAACGAGCGCAACCCUUGUCCUUAUUUGCCAUCAUUUAGUUGGGCACUCUAGGGAGACUGCCGGUGACAAAACCGGAGGAAGGUGGGGGACGACGUCAAGUCAUCAUGGCCCUUACGACCAGGGCUACACACGUGCUACAAAUGGGGCGUACAAAGGGUUGCAAUCCCGCGAGGGGGAGCUAA
Molecule: ribosomal RNA, 356 nt
Filed under: uncultured bacterium
Lineage: Bacteria
Description: bacterial SSU rRNA
Rfam family: Bacterial small subunit ribosomal RNA
Source: RNAcentral